RNAcentral lists this ribosomal RNA (534 nucleotides) under uncultured Thauera sp. RNAcentral describes it as "bacterial SSU rRNA". It matches the Rfam family "Bacterial small subunit ribosomal RNA", at positions 380 to 906 of the family's 1533-position model. Lineage: Bacteria; Pseudomonadati; Pseudomonadota; Betaproteobacteria; Rhodocyclales; Zoogloeaceae. The record is from RNAcentral.
AGCCUGAUCAGCCAUGCCGCGUGAGUGAAGAAGGCCUUCGGGUUGUAAAGCUCUUUCGGCCGGGAAGAAAUCGGCGACUCUAACAUAGUCUCUGGAUGACGGUACCGGACUACCAAGCACCGGCUAACUACGUGCCAGCAGCCGCGGUAAUACGUAGGGUGCGAGCGUUAAUCGGAAUUACUGGGCGUAAAGCGUGCGCAGGUGGUUUUGUAAGACGUAUGUGAAAUCCCCGGGCUUAACCUGGGAACUGCGUUUGUGACUGCAAGGCUAGAGUACGGCAGAGGGGGGUGGAAUUCCACGUGUAGCAGUGAAAUGCGUAGAGAUGUGGAGGAACACCGAUGGCGAAGGCUGCCCCCUGGGCCUGUACUGACGCUCAUGCCCGAAAGCGUGGGGAGCAAACAGGAUUAUAUACCCUGGUAGUCCACGCCCUAAACGAUGUCUACUAGUCGUUCGGAGCGCCGAUGCUCUGAGUGACGCAACUAACGCGUGAAGUCAACCGCCUGGGGAGUACGGUCGCAAGGUUAAAACUCAAAG